CAACACUCAAGCUCCGCUUGGUCUUGAGCCCAGCCGGUCACGGCGGGCCUUAAAAUCAGUGGCGGCGCCCCCUGGCUCUAAGCGUAGUAAUACCCCUCGCUACAGAGUCCCGGCGGACGCUGGCCAGCAACCCCAACUUACCAA
RNAcentral lists this unclassified non-coding RNA (144 nucleotides) under uncultured Ascomycota. RNAcentral describes it as "sequence contains ITS2". The record is from RNAcentral. Lineage: Eukaryota; Fungi; Ascomycota.